AACGAACGCUGGCGGCAUGCCUAACACAUGCAAGUCGAGCGCCCGUGCAAUACGGGAGCGGCGCACGGGUGAGUAGCGCGUGGGAACCUGCCCAGAGGUUCGGGACAACCGCGGGAAACUGCGGCUGAUACCGGAUGAUGCCUGAGGGCCAAAGAUUUAUCGCCUUUGGAGGGGCCGCGUCGGAUUAGGUAGUUGGUGAGGUAACGGCUCACCAAGCCUGUGAUACCGUAGCUGGUCUGAGAGGAUGAUCAGCCACACUGGGACUGAGACACGGCCCAGACUCCUACGGGAGGCAGCAGUGGGGAGGUAAUUGGACAAUGGGGGCGAACCCUGAUCCAGCAAUGCCGCGUGGGUGAUGAAGGCC
Molecule: ribosomal RNA, 364 nt
Filed under: uncultured bacterium
Lineage: Bacteria
Description: bacterial SSU rRNA
Rfam family: Bacterial small subunit ribosomal RNA
Source: RNAcentral